AUGUGCAGGGAGGAACAUUUCAUGGACAAUGAGGAGAUAUGCAAACCACGCCAUGACCUGAAGCUGCUGGAGCUGGACUUAUUUUGUGAAAUGGUGUUUCCGACGCCAUGCUGCUGCUGUCCCUCGGUUUGCUCUGCAGACGGGUACUGGAACUACUUGUCGCCAAGGAUGGAGAGCUACAGCGGUGUGCUCGCCAAGGCCAUCGACGUGGGCACCAACCACCUCGUCAAAGGCAUCGUCGUGUGCAGCAAGGCCUACGCCAGCCAGGUAGGGAGCCAACGUGAUUAG
RNAcentral lists this ribosomal RNA (288 nucleotides) under Triticum aestivum (bread wheat). RNAcentral's name for it is "partial small subunit ribosomal RNA". Lineage: Eukaryota; Viridiplantae; Streptophyta; Magnoliopsida; Poales; Poaceae. The record is from RNAcentral.